CUGGUUGAUUCUGCCAGUAGUCAUAUGCUUGUCUC
RNAcentral lists this ribosomal RNA (35 nucleotides) under Trichoderma harzianum. Its description in RNAcentral is "partial 18S small subunit ribosomal RNA". Lineage: Eukaryota; Fungi; Ascomycota; Sordariomycetes; Hypocreales; Hypocreaceae. RNAcentral also lists the same sequence under 5 other names. The record is from RNAcentral.